Molecule: long non-coding RNA, 490 nt
Filed under: Chinchilla lanigera (long-tailed chinchilla)
Lineage: Eukaryota; Metazoa; Chordata; Mammalia; Rodentia; Chinchillidae
Description: lncRNA (ENSCLAG00000025951.1)
Source: RNAcentral
GGCCCCAUCUUCCGGGGAGAGUGGGCUCCGUGUGUAACUGCAAGGCCUCCUGCACCCACUUCCGGUGUGCUCUGGAAAAGCACGCUCCUGAUCGAGCUCAGAGGCAGAAGCCUUUCUCCACACCCACACCAGCUGCCUGCCGCUGAGCCUCGGGAUGAGAGAUGGGGCAGGGUGGGUGGCUAGGGCCUGUCAUCAGCCACAGCAGGGGCAGCAGUCCGGAAACAAAGGAGCAGAAGGCAGGAGGCUCUGACCAGGGUCCCCGCUCAGCAAGUAGCAGAUUUGAGGACAGAACGCCAACUUGGACUUCUGCAUUUAGAGUCUCCUGGAGGAGCUGUGGCUUCCAGCAGAGCAGGAGUUAAAGGCCAAGACAUAGAAGCCACUCGCUUCUCUGGAUGUCCAGCUUCGGAGUGGGAUCCAUGAGGCUAAACAGGGCGAGCUUAUUACCAACAAACGAUUACACUCCAGGUUGUAUCGAGCAGAGUGCGGUAUG